RNAcentral lists this ribosomal RNA (437 nucleotides) under Laevichlamys wilhelminae. RNAcentral describes it as "partial 12S ribosomal RNA". It matches the Rfam family "Bacterial small subunit ribosomal RNA", at positions 874 to 1418 of the family's 1533-position model. The record is from RNAcentral. Lineage: Eukaryota; Metazoa; Mollusca; Bivalvia; Pectinida; Pectinidae.
AUUUAUUUGCCGACGCAAACUUUGCUAUUUGGGGAAGCUGCUUGAGUACUACGAGCGUGUGCUUAAAACUCAAAGAAUUUGGCGGCUCGUUAACUACCUAGGGGAAUAUGUGCCUUAAUCCGAUGAUACCCGUUAUAUCUUACUGCACCUUGAAAAAGAACAGUUGGUGUAUUGCCGUUGUCAGCUUGUUGUCGAGCAGAAAGUAACAGGCUUAAGGGAACCGCUAACUUGUUAAUGGGAUCCGCGAAUUCAGGUCGAAAUGCUGCCUAUGGUGCAAGGGAGUAGGUAUUACAAUUUAAAUUUAAAACGACGGAUCUCAUUUUUUUGUGAAAUCUUUGAGUGAAGGUGGACUUAGGAGUAAGGGGGGAUUAAUAUGCUCCCUGAACAUGAAUCUAACUUGUGUACAAACCGCCCGUCGCUCUCGCCGGAAGGGAGAU